AGGACGAACGCUGGCGGCGUGCUUAACACAUGCAAGUCGAGCGGUAAGGCCCUUCGGGGUACACGAGCGGCGAACGGGUGAGUAACACGUGAGCAAUCUGCCCUUCACUCCGGGAUAGCCUCGGGAAACUGAGAUUAAUACCGGAUACAACCACUUCGGGCAUCCGACGGUGGUGGAAAGUUCUGGCGGUGAAGGAUGAGCUCGCGGCCUAUCAGCUUGUUGGCGGGGUAAUGGCCCACCAAGGCUUCGACGGGUAGCCGGCCUGAGAGGGUGACCGGCCACACUGGGACUGAGACACGGCCCAGACUCCUACGGGAGGCAGCAGUGGGGAAUAUUGGACAAUGGGCGAAAGCCUGAUCCAGCAACGCCGCGUGAGGGAUGACGGCCUUCGGGUUGUAAACCUCUUUCAGCAGGGACGAAGCGAAAGUGACGGUACCUGCAGAAGAAGCACCGGCCAACUACGUGCCAGCAGCCGC
RNAcentral lists this ribosomal RNA (476 nucleotides) under uncultured bacterium. RNAcentral's name for it is "SSU rRNA". It matches the Rfam family "Bacterial small subunit ribosomal RNA", at positions 26 to 518 of the family's 1533-position model. The record is from RNAcentral.